CAGCACUGGUGCUGUCUCGCUGCUGUAAGCACGAGCGCAGGUACAGCACUCAUCUGACAACACAAAGACCGUCUGGAGCAGAGCAUACACACAGCUUGUCCUUUUAAUUCAGACACUUUUUAUUGUUUCUAAACAUGCUUGUCGUGUCCGCCGGUGCGAGUGCCUUUUAAUUUGGUCUCGUAUUCUUUUAACGUCCUUUGGUUGAGUUGUUGUGUCAGUUUUAGCUACCUGUCCCGUUAGGUGUGGAAGGAAGAAAGAAGCGCGCGCACACAGGAAACGUUCCUCCAAAGUACACUUUCUGAAUACAGCUACAGGGCAAACGCGUCUCGAUAAGGAUCCUUGGCAGUCAGUGGGAUGAUAGUGAAGCGGGUUGGAGUCUGGAUUGAAGGAGCAUGGUGAAGCACCAACCAUUACAGGUCUAUGAGAGACAGCUGUGUUUGUCAUGUCUAACCGGGAUCUACGGAUGCCGCUGGAAACGCUACCAGCGGUCACAUGAUGACACCACCAAGUGGGAGUGUUUGUGGUCCUUCAUUCUCUUCUGCACUUUCUCCCUGUUACUGGUGUGGUUUUACUUCUGGUGGGAGGCCCAUAAUGACUACAGCGAGUUUAACUGGUUUUUAUAUAACCGUUCAGGGGAGUGGAGUGAUGGAACCGUUCCCAUAUUGGCUGCUACAGCAGCUGGUUUCACCUAUAUUGCAUUUUUAACGAUUUUAGCCCUGUGCCAUGUAGCUGUCGGGCAGCAGUUAAACCUCCACUGGCUCCACAAGAUUGGUGUUACAGCCGCUUUGCUCACUACAGUAAUUAGUGUGAUAUCGGUCACUCAGAUGUGGGGAGAGGAAUGGGAUGUAGUUUGGAUUUCUCUUCAGGCUACUGGUCCUUUCCUGCACAUCGGUGCUUUGGCUGCAGUUACUGCUUUGGCCUGGCUGGUGGCUGGACAGGUGGCGCGAGCAGAGAAAACUAGGUUUCAGUUGAUGGUUGUCCUCAUCUACCUGAGUGUUCUCCUCAUGCUUUACUUCAUUCCGCUGUCAAUCACCUCACCCUGUAUUAUGGAGCGUGGGAGUCUCAAAGCAGCACCCACCAUCAUCGGCCAUCAAGGAGCUCCAAUGCUUGCUCCAGAGAACACUCUUCUAUCGUUCAACAGAGCUCUGCAGAGAAAUGUUAGUGGGUUGGAGGCGGAUGUGACCAUCAGUCUAGAUGGUGUGCCGUUCCUCCUGAGAGACCGGACAUUGAGGAGAACCACAAACGUGAGAAGAGUGUUCCCACAGAGACAGUAUGAUGAUGCUUCACUCUUCAACUGGACUGAUUUGAGCUCACUGAACGCUGGCCAGUGGUUUUUAAAGGAUGAUCCCUUCUGGACAGUGCAGUACAUGUCAACAUCCGAACGCUGGUUAUUGGGGAACCAGACAGUGUGCAGCUUGGAGCAGAUGCUGAAACUAGCAGCUAGGUCCAAUAGAUCGGCCCUAUUAACUCUGCACAGACCGCCAUCCAAUCACCCCCACCACCACGACUGGGUCAACCUCACCCUUGACUCUGUUCUGAGGUCAGGAAUACCACAGCAGCAGGUGAUGUGGACUGUGGACAGUAACAGGGAGAUGGUGAGGAAAGCGGCUCCAGGUUUACAGCAGACAUCUGUGCAGAAGCUGCCUCUCGACACUCUCCAUCAUAAAGGCAUCAGCAGGGUCCUGCUGCGCUACAACCAGGCCUCUGCACAGGACAUCAAGCUGUAUAAUGAGAACAACAUUAGUCUGACUCUGUAUUGGGUGAACGAGCCGUGGCUGUAUUCCCUGCUGUGGUGCAGUGGGGUGCCGUCCGUCUCCUCCGAGGCUCCGCAGGUGCUGAGGAAGGUGCACUAUCCGCUCUGGCUCAUGAGUCCAGACGAGUACUGCUUGAUAUGGAUCUUUACUGAUCUCAUCUCCUUUGCUGUAGUUCUAGGAAUAUUUAUAUUCCAGAACUAUCACGUGAUCAGGUGGAGAAUGAGCGGGAUGCGGAGCUACAACCCAGAGCAGAUCAUGCUGAGUGCAGCCGUCAGGAGAUCCAGCAGAGAUGUCAACAAUAUGAAGGAGAAGCUCAUCUUCUCUGGUCAGCCACAGUAGCUGUCCACCUCCUGGGUUUGAGUCUGUGUCACUGCAUCCCUUCAUCUCAUUCCAUCUCAUUCCCUCUCCCUCCUGUCUCUCACUGUCUGCUACCAUCCCGUCUUUUCCUGCAUCCAUUCAUCCAUCAAUCCAUACUCUGCUGACAUCCCACAGCUUGAAUGGUAGCUCGUGCAGGGCUGUAACAUCAAUGGCCAGUGUAACUGUGGCCUGCAUAUGAGGUGAGCAACGGAGUCUCCAGCGAUGAACCCUAUACGGAAAAUGGAUUUAACUACUACACCAAUUAAUGCAUUGCUCAUUGACUCAUGGAAC
This is an RNA transcript of Cyprinus carpio (common carp), 2402 nucleotides long. It is a transcript of the gene named glycerophosphodiester phosphodiesterase 2-like, with no coding region annotated. NCBI's taxonomy places the organism in Eukaryota, Metazoa, Chordata, Actinopteri, Cypriniformes, Cyprinidae. The record is from RefSeq and is a predicted model, not a curated record.